RNAcentral lists this ribosomal RNA (792 nucleotides) under Vibrio harveyi. Its description in RNAcentral is "bacterial SSU rRNA". It matches the Rfam family "Bacterial small subunit ribosomal RNA", at positions 253 to 1037 of the family's 1533-position model. Lineage: Bacteria; Pseudomonadati; Pseudomonadota; Gammaproteobacteria; Vibrionales; Vibrionaceae. The record is from RNAcentral.
UGAGGUAAGGGCUCACCAAGGCGACGAUCCCUAGCUGGUCUGAGAGGAUGAUCAGCCACACUGGAACUGAGACACGGUCCAGACUCCUACGGGAGGCAGCAGUGGGGAAUAUUGCACAAUGGGCGCAAGCCUGAUGCAGCCAUGCCGCGUGUGUGAAGAAGGCCUUCGGGUUGUAAAGCACUUUCAGUCGUGAGGAAGGUAGUGUAGUUAAUAGCGGCAUUAUUUGACGUUAGCGACAGAAGAAGCACCGGCUAACUCCGUGCCAGCAGCCGCGGUAAUACGGAGGGUGCGAGCGUUAAUCGGAAUUACUGGGCGUAAAGCGCAUGCAGGUGGUUUGUUAAGUCAGAUGUGAAAGCCCGGGGCUCAACCUCGGAAUAGCAUUUGAAACUGGCAGACUAGAGUACUGUAGAGGGGGGUAGAAUUUCAGGUGUAGCGGUGAAAUGCGUAGAGAUCUGAAGGAAUACCGGUGGCGAAGGCGGCCCCCUGGACAGAUACUGACACUCAGAUGCGAAAGCGUGGGGAGCAAACAGGAUUAGAUACCCUGGUAGUCCACGCCGUAAACGAUGUCUACUUGGAGGUUGUGGCCUUGAGCCGUGGCUUUCGGAGCUAACGCGUUAAGUAGACCGCCUGGGGAGUACGGUCGCAAGAUUAAAACUCAAAUGAAUUGACGGGGGCCCGCACAAGCGGUGGAGCAUGUGGUUUAAUUCGAUGCAACGCGAAGAACCUUACCUACUCUUGACAUCCAGAGAACUUUCCAGAGAUGGAUUGGUGCCUUCGGGAACUCUGAGACAG